GAUGAACGCUGGCGGCGUGCCUAAUACAUGCAAGUCGAGCGAACAGACGAGGAGCUCUCUCCUCUGACGUUACCGGCGGACGGGUGAGUAAUACGUGGCUAACCUACCUAUAAGGCUGGGAUAACUUCGGGAAACCGGAGCUAACACCCGAUAAUAUGUUGAACCGCAUGGUUCAAUAGUGAAAGACCGUUUUGCUGACACUUAUAGAUGGAUCCGAGUCGCAUUAGCAAGUUGGUAAGGUAACGGCUUACCAAGGCAACGAUGCGUAGCCGACCUGAGAGGGUGAUCGGCCACACUGGAACUGAGACACGGUCCAGACUCCUACGGGAGGCAGCAGUAGGGAAUCUUACGCAAUGGGCGAAAGCCUGACGGAGCAAAGCCGCGUGAGUGAUGAAGGUCUUCGGAUCGUAAAACUCUGUUAGUAGGGAGGAAGAAAUGUGUAAUUAACUAUGCACGUCUUGACGGUACCUAAUGAGAAAGCCACGGCUAACUCCGUG
RNAcentral lists this ribosomal RNA (497 nucleotides) under uncultured bacterium. Its description in RNAcentral is "partial 16S ribosomal RNA". It matches the Rfam family "Bacterial small subunit ribosomal RNA", at positions 28 to 507 of the family's 1533-position model. The record is from RNAcentral.